Molecule: transfer RNA, 71 nt
Filed under: Candidatus Opitulatrix roisinitermitis
Lineage: Bacteria; Bacillati; Actinomycetota; Actinomycetes; Bifidobacteriales; Bifidobacteriaceae
Description: tRNA-Gly
Rfam family: tRNA
About the family: Transfer RNA (tRNA) molecules are approximately 80 nucleotides in length. Their secondary structure includes four short double-helical elements and three loops (D, anti-codon, and T loops).
Source: RNAcentral
GCGAGUAUAGUACAGCGGUAGUAUGCAUGCUUCCCAAGCAUGAGACGGGGUUUCGACUACCCCUACUCGCA